RNAcentral lists this long non-coding RNA (809 nucleotides) under Homo sapiens (human). Its description in RNAcentral is "non-protein coding LINC00343:2". The record is from RNAcentral. Lineage: Eukaryota; Metazoa; Chordata; Mammalia; Primates; Hominidae.
AAACAUUCUUUUAACUCUUCCGUGAUAUUUUCUGAAGCUCUGAAAGAAUUUCCCCUUUUAAAGAAUUGACGUAUAAAAUAUAUGCACUCUCCCACUAGAGAUACGAGCUACUUUAGUCCCGUAUUUUAUUAUUGCAGGGAUAGAUAAGUGGACAGAUGCUGUCAAGCAUUCAAAUAAUCGACCUAUAAAGGGCUAGACAUAGAAAGACAUAAUUUCCCUGACCUCUCCAACACGCAGUCUAUUCUCACUCUGGAGGAUGAAAUGCAAAGACUCAACUCCAAGAAUGAAGUACCCUUGGCUGUGUACAUUUGAGUAAAGAGAGCACUAUAAAAUCAAAAACCAAUGAAAUGGUUUCCAGAACACAGAACUAUUAAGCUUAAGAAAAGGACAGAAGGAACUGAAGAGAGAGGAACUGUUUUGGAGCAUCACACUUCCACCUCAGAAGAAAUAAGGAAGGAAGGAGGAGGGUGUUCCCACGGCUCUUCAACCAGGCCGGCUCUUCAGCCUACAUCCCCAUCUCAUCAAGUAAAAGGGAUUUUUCAACUGGACCAACCAGAUGGUUUAACAGUGCACUCCCACACCAUUCAACUACGCAAGGGAGAUACACUUAACAUAUGCAGUCGUAUAACACCUACUAACAUUUUCAAACAUUAAACCUUUAAAAAAGAGUUCUAAAGAAAUAGAAGCUUGAAGUAUCAUCUCUCAAGUAUAUAGACACUACUUCAUGGUGUGGUAAUAUAUGCAUAUAGAAGCUAGUAAACACCUCCAGGAGAUGCAAAAGGAAUUAGAACUGCCACAAGGUGCAAGCA